RNAcentral lists this long non-coding RNA (1428 nucleotides) under Homo sapiens (human). RNAcentral describes it as "HSALNT0253259". The record is from RNAcentral. Lineage: Eukaryota; Metazoa; Chordata; Mammalia; Primates; Hominidae.
GUCAAUACCCAGGGGCAAGGGGUGUGGAGGUGGGGAGCAGAUUUAAUGGGUGAAUUUACUUGCAGUAAAGAAAUUCUUCUCCUUGUCUUGGUCACCAUUUUUUCACCAAGAAACUAGCAUUUCCUAUCCUACUAAAAGUUUACAGUUCUUUUUUUCUUCUUCUUUUUGGUGAGCACGUUUCUGCACUGUUGAGCUGACAGCUGAAAUCUGUCCUCCUCCUGCGUGUGAUGUCAGCUGUGGGCCAGCCUGGCAGUUAUGAAGAGAAGAAGAGGGGACAGCUAGGGGGAAGAGGAAGCAUGUUACGAUUGUGACCAGACCGGCUGAAACUGUGUGUCAUGUGUCACAAACCCCACGGCCUGGCAGAUCUCCGUGGAGGGAGCUUUGCCUACUCGCAUGACAUAUCUAAAGGCUCACGGGAGGCCAGCCCGCACCUGUAAGUCUCCUGGCUGACGUGCGACCAGGCAGCCUCCAGAGAGAGAGAGAGAGGGAAAUGGGCAAGAGCUGAGACUCCAGCAGCAGCAGGAAAUGGGCUGCGUUGCAGACAGCCGGCGCCACCAAGAGUUAUUUCUAAAAUCUGGGUUCGAUUAUGAUGUGCAGUCAGGUACAAACUGACAGACGAACAACUUUCUCCCAUCUCGCGGCUGCUCCUUGUUUACAGUGCUUUCAGACUCCAUGGAAGUUUCUCUAAAGGCACCUGUGUGGUGUCUCAUAAGAGUCCGGGCUGCCAAGCGCCUCCCGUGUCAUUUCUAACAGGUGUGGAAGGUGAAAGGAAGGAACAUGAAGGAAAAGAUAAGACACGAAGAGAAGGAGCCAUGUGGAAAAACCUGGAGUGCAGAAGUGUUCGUCUGAAAGGCUACGAUGACCGUGAUGAGUGGUACAUGUACACCAUAGAAUACUACGCAGCCAUAAAAAGGAAUGAGAUCAUGUCCUUUCCAGGAACAUGGAUGGAGCUGGAAGCUGUUAACCUCUGCAAACAAACACAGGAACAGAAAACCAAACACCGCAUGUUAUCACUUAUAACUAGGAGUCGAACAAUGAGAACACAUGGACACAGGCAGGAGAACAAUACACAUUGGGCUGGUUUGGGGCACAGUGGGAGGGAGAAAUAGCUAACGCAUGUGGGGCUUAGUACCUAGGUGAUGGGUUGGUAGGUGCAGCAAACCACCAUGGCACAAUGGCACACGUUUACCUAUGUAACAAACCUGCAUGUCUGGAACUUAAAAUAAAAUUAAAUAAAAAAAGAUGCAAUUUGGUAAUCAUUAUUUUUUCAAUUGUUAUAUUUUUUUAUUUCCCUGGACUUUGAUUUGUAAAAUCUUUUAUAUAUUAAGGAAAUAAUUCAAUUUGUCAAAAGUUUUCACAACCUUUGGGUUUGCCAUUUACAUUCUAUUUUUGUUCAUAUUGGGAUUUUUUUUGGGGGGAGCUAAUUAA